This 63-nucleotide transfer RNA is filed under the name Conderis sp. UPOL A00609. RNAcentral's name for it is "tRNA-Phe". Lineage: Eukaryota; Metazoa; Arthropoda; Insecta; Coleoptera; Lycidae. The record is from RNAcentral.
UUUUAAUAGCUUAUACAGAGCAUGAUAUUGAAGAUAUCAGUGAGACUUUUAGUCUUAAAAUAU